GAAUGCCAGUUUUACAUGAAGACCGGAGACUGCAAGUUUGGUGCUGUUUGUAGAUUCCAUCAUCCAAGGGAAAGGCUUAUUCCUCCUCCUGAUUGUCUGCUAAGUCCCAUUGGACUUCCUUUACGCCCUGGAGAACCACUGUGUAUUUUCUAUUCCAGAUAUGGGAUCUGCAAAUUUGGCCCAAGUUGCAAGUUUGAUCACCCAAUGACGGUUUUCACUUAUAGUAUUGCAGCAUCAUCAGCUACUGAUGCUCCUACAGUUCAGCGUUUAUUGGGUUCAUCAUCAGGAACCAGUGCACUGAACAUGACUUCAGAAGGGCUUGUUGAAGCAGUUUCAACAAAGCCCAGGCGACUGUCACUCUCAGAAACGAGAAAGAUGCCGUCUGGUGAUAAUAACAUUGACAGGGAGGGGUGAUAUUUAUCCACCAAUUACUAGCCAGCAUCAUCAUUUUCUAUCUUUUUGAGAAUCAAUAACAGUUGCCUGUAAAUUCUUUUCCAUCGGUGGAGAUGUACAGAAUCCAGUAAAAAUCUCAAUUUAUUCUUCUGAAAAUGCAUUUCAGUCGACAAAGUUGACAUAUCUGUACUUUCACUUUGGAGCAAUGUAUAAAUCUGCCGAUGUUGGCACAAAUUGGUGAAUCCAACUGUUAAUUAUUCAACAGCCAUCAGCCCCUAUAUUUCUCUUUGUGAAUUAAAUUAACCCCCUA
RNAcentral lists this unclassified non-coding RNA (703 nucleotides) under Hevea brasiliensis (rubber tree). The record is from RNAcentral. Lineage: Eukaryota; Viridiplantae; Streptophyta; Magnoliopsida; Malpighiales; Euphorbiaceae.